RNAcentral lists this ribosomal RNA (766 nucleotides) under uncultured bacterium. Its description in RNAcentral is "bacterial SSU rRNA". It matches the Rfam family "Bacterial small subunit ribosomal RNA", at positions 56 to 799 of the family's 1533-position model. The record is from RNAcentral.
UGCAAGUCGUACGAGAAAGCCUCUUCGGAGGUGAGUAAAGUGGCGCACGGGUGAGUAACGCGUGGGUAAUCUGCCCUUUGGUUUGGGAUAACCCCGGGAAACCGGAGCUAAUACCGAAUAAGACCACGAUGACUUCGGUCGAUGUGGGAAAAGGUGGCCUCUUCUUGAAAGCUAUCACCAAUGGAUGAGCCCGCGUUUGAUUAGCUUGUUGGUGAGGUAAAAGCUCACCAAGGCUGCGAUCAAUAGCUGGUCUGAGAGGAUGAUCAGCCACACUGGAACUGAGACACGGUCCAGACUCCUACGGGAGGCAGCAGUCGGGAAUAUUGGGCAAUGGGCGAAAGCCUGACCCAGCAACGCCGCGUGAAGGAUGAAGGCCCUAGGGUCGUAAACUUCUGUCGAGAGGGAAGAAUGCUUGCGGACUAAUAAUCCGUAAGUUUGACGGUACCUCCAAAGGAAGCACCGGCUAACUCCGUGCCAGCAGCCGCGGUAAUACGGAGGGUGCAAGCGUUGUUCGGAUUUAUUGGGCGUAAAGCGAGUGUAGGCGGCUUAGCAAGUCGGGUGUGAAAUCCCAGGGCCCAACCCUGGAACUGCACUCGAUACUGCUAGGCUAGAAUUCCGGAGAGGGUGGCGGAAUUCCCGGCGUAGGGGUGAAAUCCGUAGAUAUCGGGAGGAACACCAGUGGCGAAGGCGGCCACCUGGACGGUAAUUGACGCUGAGACUCGAAAGCGUGGGUAGCAAACAGGAUUAGAUACCCUGGUAGUCCACG